CUUAAUUUCUUUUCAAAUUUAUCUCUAUCUUCUACAACUUUCUCUCUCUGUCUCUCUGGGAGUGUGUAGAUUGAUGACAAGUAACCACGGUACGUUAAUGCCUAAGAGGAGGAGAAGACAAAGAGGACAAGGGUGGCUAAAUCGUCGCUUCAGGGGGGGCUUCUUGUUUCGUUUUACUUUAAUAUCAUUAUGAUAUUUAUGAAACGCUAAUCUGAUAGAGUGUUUGGGAAUAGGGUUGUUCUAAAAAUCAAAAUUUACAUUGGAAAGAGGGU
This 272-nucleotide long non-coding RNA is filed under the name Vigna radiata. RNAcentral describes it as "long non-coding RNA (VRAD_LNC004984)". The record is from RNAcentral. Lineage: Eukaryota; Viridiplantae; Streptophyta; Magnoliopsida; Fabales; Fabaceae.